UACGUAGGGGGCAAGCGUUGUCCGGAAUCAUUGGGCGUAAAGCGCGCGUAGGCGGCCCGGUAAGUCCGCUGUAAAAGUCCAGGGCUCAACCCUGGAAAGCCGAUGGAUACUGUGUGGCUAGAGUACGGAAGAGGCGAGUGGAAUUCCUGGUGUAGCGGUGGAAUGCGCAGAUAUCAGGAGGAACACCAAUAGCGAAGGCAGCUCGCUGGGACGUUACUGACACUGAGGCGCGAAAGCGUGGGGAGCGAACAGG
Molecule: ribosomal RNA, 253 nt
Filed under: uncultured bacterium
Lineage: Bacteria
Description: partial 16S ribosomal RNA
Rfam family: Bacterial small subunit ribosomal RNA
Source: RNAcentral